This 451-nucleotide ribosomal RNA is filed under the name Staphylococcus epidermidis. RNAcentral's name for it is "partial 23S ribosomal RNA". It matches the Rfam family "Bacterial large subunit ribosomal RNA", at positions 1 to 444 of the family's 2925-position model. The record is from RNAcentral. Lineage: Bacteria; Bacillati; Bacillota; Bacilli; Caryophanales; Staphylococcaceae.
GAUUAAGUUAUUAAGGGCGCACGGUGGAUGCCUUGGCACUAGAAGCCGAAGAAGGACGUUACUAACGACGAUAUGCUUUGGGGAGCUGUAAGUACGCUUUGAUCCAGAGAUUUCCGAAUGGGGAAACCCAGCAUGAGUUAUGUCAUGUUAUCCGCAUAUGAAUACAUAGUAUGCGAGAAGGCACACCCGGAGAACUGAAACAUCUUAGUACCCGGAGGAAGAGAAAGAAAACUCGAUUCCCUGAGUAGCGGCGAGCGAAACGGGAAGAGCCCAAACCAAUAGGCUUGCCUAUUGGGGUUGUAGGACACUCUAUACGGAGUUACAAAGGAAAUGAUUAGACGAAUGGUUUUGGAAAAGCCAACCAUAGAAGGUAAAGGUCCUGUAGUCGAAAGUCAUUUCUCUCCUGAGUGGAUCCUGAGUACGGCGGAACACGUGAAAUUCCGUCGGAAUC